UGAAAGGACUGACUUUUUUUGGAAGAUGGGUCUAGUCUUUGAUUUUGCAUGUAAACAGCCAGAGUAAGUUUGCUAGCAGCUACCGCAUGGGAACUCCUGUGACAUGCACCUGUCCAAUGCUGGUGUUUAAGACUGAGGCUAAAGGAAGACCUUCUGCAGCACUCACUCAGAAUGAGAGGAAAAAGAUGGGACAUUUUACUUCAGAAGGUUCAGCCUCAUCUCCAGAGUCCACUUACACUAAGAACAAAGUCUACCUGUCCUG
Molecule: long non-coding RNA, 262 nt
Organism: Rhea pennata
Lineage: Eukaryota; Metazoa; Chordata; Aves; Rheiformes; Rheidae
Exons: 3
Source: RefSeq, a predicted model, not a curated record